CCUACGGGUGUCAGCAGUGGGGAAUAUUGCACAAUGGGGGAAACCCUGAUGCAGCAACGCCGCGUGAAGGAAGACGGUUUUCGGAUUGUAAACUUCUGUUCUUAGUGAAGAAUAAUGACGGUAGCUAAGGAGCAAGCCACGGCUAACUACGUGCCAGCAGCCGAGGUACUACGUAGGGGGCAAGCGUUGUCCGGAAUGACUGGGUGUAUAGGGCGCGCAGGCGGGAAGCCAAGUCAGCUGUGAAUACUACUGGCUUAUCUUGUAGACUGCAGUUUAAACUGGUUUUCUUGAGUGUAGUAGAGGUUGGCGGAAUUCCGAGUGUAGCGGUGAAAUGCGGAGAUAUUCGGAGGAACACCGGUAGCGAAGGCGGCCAACUAGGCUUUAACUGACGCUGAGGCUCGAAAGUGUGGGGAGCAAACAGGAUUAGAUACCCUAGUAGUC
Molecule: ribosomal RNA, 441 nt
Filed under: uncultured bacterium
Lineage: Bacteria
Description: partial 16S ribosomal RNA
Rfam family: Bacterial small subunit ribosomal RNA
Source: RNAcentral